This 493-nucleotide ribosomal RNA is filed under the name uncultured bacterium. RNAcentral's name for it is "bacterial SSU rRNA". It matches the Rfam family "Bacterial small subunit ribosomal RNA", at positions 29 to 508 of the family's 1533-position model. The record is from RNAcentral.
AGUGAACGCUGGCGGUAGGCCUAACACAUGCAAGUCGAACGGCAGCACAGUAAGAGCUUGCUCUUACGGGUGGCGAGUGGCGGACGGGUGAGGAAUGCAUCGGAAUCUACUCUGUCGUGGGGGAUAACGUAGGGAAACUUACGCUAAUACCGCAUACGACCUACGGGUGAAAGCAGGGGAUCUUCGGACCUUGCGCGAUUGAAUGAGCCGAUGCCCGAUUAGCUAGUUGGCGGGGUAAGAGCCCACCAAGGCGACGAUCGGUAGCUGGUCUGAGAGGAUGAUCAGCCACACUGGAACUGAGACACGGUCCAGACUCCUACGGGAGGCAGCAGUGGGGAAUAUUGGACAAUGGGCGCAAGCCUGAUCCAGCCAUACCGCGUGGGUGAAGAAGGCCUUCGGGUUGUAAAGCCCUUUUGUUGGGAAAGAAAAGCAGCCGGUUAAUACCCGGUUGUUCUGACGGUACCCAAAGAAUAAGCACCGGCUAACUUCGUGC